UACGUAGGUGACAAGCGUUGUCCGGAUUUACUGGGCGUAAAGCGUGCGCAGGCGGUUCGCUAAGACCGAUGUGAAAUCCCCGGGCUUAACCUGGGAACUGCAUUGGUGACUGGCGGGCUAGAGUAUGGCAGAGGGGGGUAGAAUUCCACGUGUAGCAGUGAAAUGCGUAGAGAUGUGGAGGAAUACCGAUGGCGAAGGCAGCCCCCUGGGCCAAUACUGACGCUCAUGCACGAAAGCGUGGGGAGCAAACAGG
Molecule: ribosomal RNA, 253 nt
Filed under: uncultured bacterium
Lineage: Bacteria
Description: partial 16S ribosomal RNA
Rfam family: Bacterial small subunit ribosomal RNA
Source: RNAcentral